CUACGGGGGGCAGCCGUGGGGAAUAUUGCACAAUGGGCGCAAGCCUGAUGCCGCCAUGCCGCGUGUGUGAAGAAGGCCUUCGGGUUGUAAAGCACUUUCAGCGGGGAGGAAGGCGGUGAGGUUAAUAACCUCAUCGAUUGACGUUACCCGCAGAAGAAGCACCGGCUAACUCCGUGCCAGCAGCCGCGGUAAUACGGAGGGUGCAAGCGUUAAUCGGAAUUACUGGGCGUAAAGCGCACGCAGGCGGUCUGUCAAGUCGGAUGUGAAAUCCCCGGGCUCAACCUGGGAACUGCAUUCGAAACUGGCAGGCUAGAGUCUUGUAGAGGGGGGUAGAAUUCCAGGUGUAGCGGUGAAAUGCGUAGAGAUCUGGAGGAAUACCGGUGGCGAAGGCGGCCCCCUGGACAAAGACUGACGCUCAGGUGCGAAAGCGUGGGGAGCAAACAGGAUUAGAUACCCUUGUAGUC
Molecule: ribosomal RNA, 464 nt
Filed under: uncultured Klebsiella sp.
Lineage: Bacteria; Pseudomonadati; Pseudomonadota; Gammaproteobacteria; Enterobacterales; Enterobacteriaceae
Description: bacterial SSU rRNA
Rfam family: Bacterial small subunit ribosomal RNA
Source: RNAcentral